RNAcentral lists this ribosomal RNA (253 nucleotides) under uncultured bacterium. Its description in RNAcentral is "partial 16S ribosomal RNA". It matches the Rfam family "Bacterial small subunit ribosomal RNA", at positions 524 to 776 of the family's 1533-position model. The record is from RNAcentral.
UACGGAGGAUGCAAGCGUUAUCCGGAAUGAUUGGGCGUAAAGCGUCCGCAGGUGGCUGUGUAAGUCUGCUGUCAAAGAGCAAAGCUCAACUUUGUAAAGGCAGUGGAAACUACACGGCUAGAGUGCGUUCGGGGCAGAGGGAAUUCCUGGUGUAGCGGUGAAAUGCGUAGAGAUCCGGAAGAACACCGGUGGCGAAGGCGGUCUGCUGGGCAGUAGCUGACACUGAUGCGCGACAGCGUGGGGAGCAAACAGG